This 565-nucleotide ribosomal RNA is filed under the name Saccharomyces cerevisiae (brewer's yeast). RNAcentral's name for it is "partial large subunit ribosomal RNA". It matches the Rfam family "Eukaryotic large subunit ribosomal RNA", at positions 63 to 642 of the family's 3401-position model. Lineage: Eukaryota; Fungi; Ascomycota; Saccharomycetes; Saccharomycetales; Saccharomycetaceae. The record is from RNAcentral.
AACCAACCGGGAUUGCCUUAGUAACGGCGAGUGAAGCGGCAAAAGCUCAAAUUUGAAAUCUGGUACCUUCGGUGCCCGAGUUGUAAUUUGGAGAGGGCAACUUUGGGGCCGUUCCUUGUCUAUGUUCCUUGGAACAGGACGUCAUAGAGGGUGAGAAUCCCGUGUGGCGAGGAGUGCGGUUCUUUGUAAAGUGCCUUCGAAGAGUCGAGUUGUUUGGGAAUGCAGCUCUAAGUGGGUGGUAAAUUCCAUCUAAAGCUAAAUAUUGGCGAGAGACCGAUAGCGAACAAGUACAGUGAUGGAAAGAUGAAAAGAACUUUGAAAAGAGAGUGAAAAAGUACGUGAAAUUGUUGAAAGGGAAGGGCAUUUGAUCAGACAUGGUGUUUUGUGCCCUCUGCUCCUUGUGGGUAGGGGAAUCUCGCAUUUCACUGGGCCAGCAUCAGUUUUGGUGGCAGGAUAAAUCCAUAGGAAUGUAGCUUGCCUCGGUAAGUAUUAUAGCCUGUGGGAAUACUGCCAGCUGGGACUGAGGACUGCGACGUAAGUCAAGGAUGCUGGCAUAAUGGUUAUA